AACGAACGCUGGCGGCAGGCCUAACACAUGCAAGUCGAACGAGAAGCCACCUUCGGGUGGUGGACAGUGGCAGACGGGUGAGUAACGCGUGGGAACGUGCCUUUCGGUUCGGGAUAACCCAGGGAAACUUGGGCUAAUACCGGAUACGCCCUCCGGGGAAGAUCAUUGCCGAAAGAUCGGCCCGCGUCGGAUUAGCUAGUUGGUGGGGUAAAAGCCUACCAAGGCGACGAUCCGUAGCUGGUCUGAGAGGAUGACCAGCCACACUGGACUGAGACACGGCCCAGACUCCUACGGGAGGCAGCAGGUGGGGAAUAUUGGACAAUGGGCGCAAGCCUGAUCCAGCCAUGCCGCGUGGGUGAAGAA
RNAcentral lists this ribosomal RNA (363 nucleotides) under uncultured bacterium. RNAcentral's name for it is "bacterial SSU rRNA". It matches the Rfam family "Bacterial small subunit ribosomal RNA", at positions 29 to 412 of the family's 1533-position model. The record is from RNAcentral.